Molecule: ribosomal RNA, 372 nt
Filed under: uncultured Glomeromycotina
Lineage: Eukaryota; Fungi; Glomeromycota
Description: LSU rRNA
Source: RNAcentral
UUGAAAGGGAAACGAUUGAAGUCAGUCGUACCGACGAGAAAUCAGCUUAUCGUGUGUUAACUUGUGGGCGUGCGUGAGUUUCGGCCUCGCUGUUUGCAUGUUUGUGCGCUUUGGGUGUACUUUUUCGUAUGGUAGGCCAACAUCAGUUUCGAAUACCAUAAAAUGACCGGCGGAAUGUAGCUUCGAUCUCGUAUUGAAGUGUUAUAGCCUCUGGUAGAUGUGGUGUUUGGGACUGAGGAUUGCAACGAAUAUCCUUUGGGCUAUCCGUCUGAUCUCUGAAAGUUGCUUGGGUGCUGAAAGCUUGCUUAUGGUUAUCUAGGUUAACGGUCAAUAGGUUAGAACGUGAUUACAUUCGUUAAGGAUGUUGACGUA